Sus scrofa (pig) is the source of this 4931-nucleotide non-coding RNA. NCBI's taxonomy places the organism in Eukaryota, Metazoa, Chordata, Mammalia, Artiodactyla, Suidae. The record is from RefSeq and is a predicted model, not a curated record.
CUUUUUGCCAUUUCUUUGGGCCGCUCCCGCGGCAUAUGGAGGUUCCCAGGCUAGGGGUCCAAUUGGAGCUGUAGCCACCGGCCUACGCCAGAGCCACAGCAACGCGGGAUCCAAGCCGCGUCUGCAGCCUACACCACCGCUCACAGCAACACUGGAUCCUUAACCCGCUGAGCAAGGCCAGGGAUCGAACCCGCAACCGCAUAGUUCCUAGUCGGAUUCGUUAACCACUGAGCCACGACAGGAACUCCUCUUCUUAAAAGGACACUAGUCCUAUAGGAUUAAAAGCCCUUCCUACUCCAGUGUGACCCCAUCUUAACUAGUUACAUCUGCAAUCACCCAUUUCUUUUUUUUUUGCUUUUUAGGGCCGCACGCUCGGCAAAUGGAGGUUCCCAGGCGCAGGGUCUAAUUGGAACUGCAGCUCCGGUCUACGCCAGAACCACAGCAACUCAGGAUCCAAGCCACAUCUGCAACCUACACCACAGCUCACAGCAACGCCGGAUCCUUAACCCACUGAGCGAAGCCAGAGAUCAAACCUGCAGCCUCAUGGUUCCUAGUCGGAAACAUUCCCGAUGCACCACAAUGGGAACUCUUAUUCAUUUUGUUGAUUCCGGGUCAGGGAUCGAACCCACGCCAUAGCAGCAACCCAAGCUGCUGCAGUGACAAUGCCAGAUCUUUAACCACUAGCCCAGCAGGGAGCUUCUCUCCUCUUUUUCUGGUUUUUUUUUUGUUUGUUUUUUUCUUGUUUUUUGUUUUUUUUUUUGUCUUUUUGCCAUUUCUUGGGCCACUCCCAAGGCAUAUGGAGGUUCCCAGGAUAGGGGUCAAAACGGAGUUGUAGCUGCCGGCCUACACCACAGCCCCAGCCAUGCCAGAUCCGAGCCAUGUCUGCAACCUACACCACAGCUCACGGCAACGCCAGAUCGUUAACCCACUGAGCAAGGGCAGGGACCGAACCCGCAACCUCAUGGCUCGUAGUCGGAUUUGUUAACCACUGCGCCACGACGGGAACUCCCCGAUUUCUAAAUAAGCCUACAUAAUGGAGCUUCCAGAGGUUAAGACAUUAACACAUCAUUGUGGGGAACACAGUUCAAGCCACAACACUGACCUUGGCCCCUGGUCCCUCUGCCUUAUCCCAGUGCUGGGACCCCUACAGAAAGAUGGGGGUCCUGCCGCCGAGCCAUGACGCACACGGGGAGACUGAGGUUUGUGGUGGGGGGCAGUGCGGGGAGCCGGCCAGUCCCCCUUGGCACUCCUCCCCUGAUCGGAGGGCCUCGGUCAGUAGCUGCUGGGACUUGGGGGGUUUCCUCUGGUCAAGGGCAGGGCAGGCUGGCAGGAGUGGGAGGGUCGGUUGCCCACCCAGCACCCGUGACGGGCAGGGGUGGUUUCCUCUGAGGCCCCUCUCGUUGGCUUGUGGAGGCCACCUUCUCCCUGCGGCUUCACGUGGCCGUCCCUCUGAGUGUGCACGUUUAUAUCCUGGUUUCUUCUUUUUUUCUUUUUUCUAUUUGCGUGUGUGUGUGUGUCUUUUUAGGGCCACACCCACAGCAUAUGGAGGUUCCCAGGCUAGGGGUCCAAUCGGAGCUACAGGUGCCGGCCUGCACCACAGCCACAGCCACUCAGGAUCCAAGCCGCAUCCUCCACCCACACCACAGCUCACAGCCACGCCGGAUCCUUAACCCACGGAGCGAGGCCAGGGAUCGAACCUGCAGCCUCAUGGUUCCUAGUCGGAUUCAUUCCCGAUGCACCACAAUGGGAACUCUCAUUUAUUUUGUUGAUCCCAGGUCAGGGAUCGAACCCACGCCACAGCAGCAACCCAAGCUGCUGCAGUGACAAUGCCAAUGCCAGAUCUUUAACCCCCUGGGCCACAAGAGAACUCCCCCUGGUUUCUUCUUAUAAGGACGCCAACCUAUUGGACUGCGCCCACCCGAAUGACCUCAUUUUAGCUUCAUUACCUCUUUAAAGGCCCCUUCUCCAAAUAUGGUCUGAGGCCCGGGGGGCUAGGACUCCAACUUGGGAAUUCUGGGGAGACCCAGUUCAGCCUGUCUCCGGCCAGUCGGGCUGCUGUAACCACGGAGCUGCAGACGGGGCGUCUCAGACAACACACCCUGUUUAAUUCUCCCAGUUCUGGAGGCUGCGAGUUCAAGUUCAAGGUGCCGGCAGGUUUGGUGUCUGGAGGACCCGCUUCCUGAGUCACAGACGGCUGUUUCUCGCUGCGUCCACACGCGGGAGGAGACAAGGUCUUCUCUGGGGUCCCUCUCACCUGGUCACUUAUCGCAUUGGUGAGGGCGCCACCAUCAUAACUUAAUCACCCCAGAUACCAUCGCCUGUGCGGGUGAUGGAUUUGGGGGCCACAGACAUUCUGAAGCCCUUUGCUGUGUUAUCAUUCCCCCCGCUGUGCCCAGCCCAGAAGACCUCGGCAAAUGAAUGGAAUGACAAUAUUUUGGGUGGGGCUUUCAAGGAUGAAUAGGAGUUCGCAAGGCAGAGUCGGGCAUUCCAGGCUGAAAGAACAGCCUAUGCCGAGGCCCAGAGGGCCCCCAGGGUCUGCCUGGCUCAGGGGUGGCAUGUUGGGCCUGGGGGAGGGGAGAGAGUCACACAAGGCCUCUUGGCUGGUUUCCCGACCCAGGAAACCAGCCACCCCAGGUCAGCACACGGGACAGUGGCCAUGAGCGGCCCACGGCGGCCCCGCCGACCUCCUGGGCACGAGCUGGGUCUGGUCCACGAGCAGCAGGGCCCCGUCGCCUCAGCCCACGGCAGCCCGGCUCAGGUGACUUCAGCCACAUCGUCGCACACGAGGUACAAAUUACGUGUCAGCUCAGUUCGCCAUCAGUCGGAGGCUGUCCCCACACAUCAAGCCAUGGAGGCUCCAAAGGCCCCGGAGACCACGUCUGGCUGGAGUGGCUUCUUUGAUGGCUCAACAGCAAGCGACAGCAUAGACGGUGUCCAAGUCUGGCCAGGCCUUCAAGACGGGCAGCUUCUUCUUUUUGCCUCUUGGGGGACACGCUUGGAACCCAGCCACCAUGCUGUGAGGAAGCCCAAGCCCGAGGAGAGGCCCAUAUGGAAGGGGACCUCGGGUCACCAGCCUGCAUCCACGUGAGCCCCUUGCAGGUGGGUGUCCAGCCCCGACCCCCGUCCCAGCAGAUGCCAUGUGGAGCACUGGCAAUCGGCCCAAACUGCAGACUCACGAGCAAAAUAAAUGACUGUCAUUGUUUCAAGCCACUAGUGUUGGGGUGGCUUGUUAUUGCAGCAAUAGAUGAAGAAAACAGGGGGUUCGGAUGAGAAGAACUGAGAAUACGCUUCCUAAACUUGCCACAGGAAGCCUACACUCCCGUCCAUCCAUCUUCCAGACUCGCCCUGUGGGUACCAUUUCAGUGGUCGCUAAGUGCUGGGAAAUGUUUGACGCAGGGGUGGCCAGGACGGAAGCCCCGAGUUCCGGCAUCUGCCAGUCUCCAUGGUGCAAACACCCCUGGCUUGGAGACUUGUAUACAGAGGUGGGCAGAGACGGAGGUGCCAGCAAAGGUUAGAACGAAGCUCCUAUAAGCAUCCAAAAAUAUCUCCCUCGUUUCGUGCUGCCCAAGACUCCUGCCAUGUCUCCAAUCAAGACAUGGCAUCCAUGCCCCCUCCUCUUGGCUCGGGGUUUGUGACGUGCUUGUAACCAGUAGACUGUGGCAGAAGUCCCACUGAGUGAAUGCAAUGGCAGCUCUUGCCUAAUUCCCUGGGAUACCACCUGCUGAGCCUGGAGCUGCCACGCACAACGCUGUGCCCCCUGUGGCUGCCAUGUUGCGAGGAAGCCCAAGCCACCUGAGGACUGCAAGUAGGUGUCGCAGCCGACAGCUGCAGGCGUGGGCCCGGGCAACUGCAAUCCCCAGCCACAGACAGAUGCCCUCAGAGGAUCCAUAGCAGGUUUCCUCUGCCCUUGAGCUUUCCCAGCCGAGCCCCCAGUCAUCAUGGACCAGACAACAGGUCAGCUCUACCGGGCCCUUCCCCAGUGCUUGGCCCAGAGAGCCACAAGCAGAAUAAAAUGGCUUAGGACACUAGGUGUUGGAGUCACUUGUCACACAGCCGUACUAACUCACUCAGUGCUCCCGAAUCCUGAGUCCUUCUCACCCUCAUUGUCUGGCACCUUCUCUUUUCCUGUCCAACCAUCCUGGGUACCACCCCACCCUGCGGCUCUGUGGCCAGCAGGAAGCUCGGGCUGGCGCCCCAUGACUGCUCUCCAGGGCGUUCAGCUCCCAGAGUCAGCAGGUCACAGCCCAAGGGCCCAGGCGGGGGAGGUGGAACCCUCCACCGUGCUUGGGGCCCCCGCUAGCAAAUCAGACCCUCCAUCCUCACCAGUGGCCUCUCCAGCUGCCCAGCGCUGUGUUCACCAGCCUCUUCAAGGCCAAGGGCUUCCCAGGAGGCCCAGUGGGACGUGAGACGUCCAUCACCGUGGUGCGAGGAGCUGCGCCCGGGCUCCAACCUGACCCAGCCCUGCCUGGCUGUCUAUGUGUGACCAAGCCCCCGACACCCAUGCUGGGAUGUGGGAACAAUAGGGCUCAGGGACCAGCUCCCUCGCCGGGAACCAGGACGUCAGGCUACUCCCCAUGCUUCCCAUGCCCAGGCUCCAUCAUUUGCUCAACAGAUCAUCUCGGACCACUCGCCGGCCCUGGGCCCUCUGGAGACACACGGGCAUAACCCUGGUCCCCGCGCUCAGGGAGCCCCGUCGGUGGGGGAGACAGACGUGAGCCAGGUGGCCGUGGCAGGGACAAGACAGGGGCACACGGGAUGACACGGCCAGUCUGUGGGGGCCGCAGGGAAAGCCACAAACAGCCUGGAUACCAACAAGUACAGCAUCCCAGGGGAGAGGCUGCAGGACGGAACUUUUUUUUUUGUUUUUUUGCCUUUUGAGGGCUGCUCCUGUGGCAUAUGGAGGUUCCAAGGCUAGGGGUCCAAUCUGAACU